RNAcentral lists this ribosomal RNA (484 nucleotides) under uncultured bacterium. RNAcentral's name for it is "partial 16S ribosomal RNA". It matches the Rfam family "Bacterial small subunit ribosomal RNA", at positions 30 to 507 of the family's 1533-position model. The record is from RNAcentral.
AUUGAACGCUGGCGGCAGGCCUAACACAUGCAAGUCGAGCGGAUGAAGGGAGCUUGCUCCUGGAAUCAGCGGCGGACGGGUGAGUAAUGCCUAGGAAUCUGCCUGGUAGUGGGGGAUAACGUCCGGAAACGGGCGCUAAUACCGCAUACGUCCUGAGGGAGAAAGUGGGGGAUCUUCGGACCUCACGCUAUCAGAUGAGCCUAGGUCGGAUUAGCUAGUUGGUGGGGUAAAGGCCUACCAAGGCGACGAUCCGUAACUGGUCUGAGGGGAUGAUCAGUCACACUGGAACUGAGACACGGUCCAGACUCCUACGGGAGGCAGCAGUGGGGAAUAUUGGACAAUGGGCGAAAGCCUGAUCCAGCCAUGCCGCGUGUGUGAAGAAGGUCUUCGGAUUGUAAAGCACUUUAAGUUGGGAGGAAGGGCAGUAAGUUAAUACCUUGCUGUUUUGACGUUACCAACAGAAUAAGCACCGGCUAACUUCGUG